RNAcentral lists this ribosomal RNA (273 nucleotides) under uncultured bacterium. RNAcentral describes it as "partial 16S ribosomal RNA". It matches the Rfam family "Bacterial small subunit ribosomal RNA", at positions 523 to 796 of the family's 1533-position model. The record is from RNAcentral.
AUACGAAUGGAGCAAGCGUUGUUCGGAAUCACUGGGCGUAAAGCGUACGUAGGCGGAUUUUUAAGUCAGAAGUGAAAGCCCAGGGCUCAACCCUGGAACUGCUUUUGAAACUGGAAGUCUAGAGUCCCGGAGAGGUUAGGGGAAUUCCGAGUGUAGCAGUGAAAUGCGCAGAUAUUCGGAGGAACACCAGUGGCGUAGGCGCCUAACUGGACGGGAACUGACGCUGAGGUACGAAAGCGUGGGGAGCAAAGGGAGUAGAAACCCUAGUAGUCC